UAGAAGUGUCAUGUCAUAUUCCUCUGUGU
This 29-nucleotide non-coding RNA is filed under the name Mus musculus (house mouse). Lineage: Eukaryota; Metazoa; Chordata; Mammalia; Rodentia; Muridae. The record is from RNAcentral.